This 492-nucleotide ribosomal RNA is filed under the name uncultured bacterium. RNAcentral's name for it is "partial 16S ribosomal RNA". It matches the Rfam family "Bacterial small subunit ribosomal RNA", at positions 29 to 507 of the family's 1533-position model. The record is from RNAcentral.
AGUGAACGCUGGCGGUAGGCCUAACACAUGCAAGCCGAACGGCAGCACAGUAAGAGCUUGCUCUUACGGGUGGCGAGUGGCGGACGGGUGAGGAAUACAUCGGAAUCUACUUUUUCGUGGGGGAUAACGUAGGGAAACUUACGCUAAUACCGCAUACGGCCUACGGGUGAAAGCAGGGGAUCUUCGGACCUUGCGCGAUUGAAUGAGCCGAUGUCGGAUUAGCUAGUUGGCGGGGUAAAGGCCCACCAAGGCGACGAUCCGUAGCUGGUCUGAGAGGAUGAUCAGCCACACUGGAACUGAGACACGGUCCAGACUCCUACGGGAGGCAGCAGUGGGGAAUAUUGGACAAUGGGCGCAAGCCUGAUCCAGCCAUACCGCGUGGGUGAAGAAGGCCUUCGGGUUGUAAAGCCCUUUUGUUGGGAAAGAAAAGCAGCAGGUUAAUACCCCGCUGUUCUGACGGUACCCAAAGAAUAAGCACCGGCUAACUUCGUG